This 264-nucleotide ribosomal RNA is filed under the name uncultured archaeon. RNAcentral's name for it is "partial 16S ribosomal RNA". It matches the Rfam family "Archaeal small subunit ribosomal RNA", at positions 717 to 982 of the family's 1478-position model. The record is from RNAcentral.
ACACGACUACAUUAGAUACCCCGGUAGUCCUAGGCGUAAAUGAUGCGAGUUAAGUNUGGGGGCAUCUACGAGAUGGCCCUGUGCUGUAGGGUAGCCGUUAAACUCGCUGCCUGGGGAGUACGGUCGCAAGGCUGAAACUUAAAGGAAUUGGCGGGGAGCACCACAAGAGGUGGAGGCUGCGGUUCAAUUGGACUCAACGCCGGAAAACUCAUCGGGAGCGACAGCAGUAUGAUUGCCAGGUUGAUGACCUUGCUUGACAAGCUG